This 105-nucleotide ribosomal RNA is filed under the name uncultured bacterium. RNAcentral's name for it is "partial 16S ribosomal RNA". The record is from RNAcentral.
AAGGCCUGAGGGUUGUAAAGCACUUUUGUUAGGGAGGAGGGUUGAUUGGUUAAGAGCUGAUUAACUGGACGUUACCUAAAGAAAAAGCACCGGCUAACUCCGUGC